UUAAACCGAAAGAGAAUCGCAAGAGGCGUCUGCAUUAAAAUUACUUUUGCAAUCAGUCUUAAUUCAUCGGGGCUCCGCGAGAAUGCAAUAAAAAGAAUACCGCAGGACGAAGCUACUCGAUGAUCUCAGGUACGUCUGGAUAGCCCCAAGAAUGACUCAGGAACAAGUUAGGAAGGGAAAACCGUCGGCUACUAUCCCGAACAGGACAAAAGGCAACCGCGGAGUCGAGCCGGUUGCACCGACGUCGGUUAGCCUUUAAUCUCUCAUCUGUAUCUUUAUUAUGGCUACAAUUGUACGACGCAGGAUUGUGUGUAAUGGAAGAGGAUAUCGCUAGCCGAUUGAAUAGCCAAUCAAAGCGAUCGAUACAGCUGAUCAACCCCAUGUCGUUUGCACUGACGUUAGCUGGAAACUAUUAUCUAGUGACAAUAUGUUUCGUAAACUAGCUAAAUUGGAAUUAUUUGAAGUGGAAAAAAAACAAAGUAUCCGUGAUAAAAAGACAGUGCAGAAAAGUGGAGCUAAAUAGGAUCUAUAUACGCUAAUGAGAGAUGCAAUCAAAAAAGGGCAAUUGCCAGCUAGAGGUGGAGACCCAUCAUCACACAAUCGUUGCGACCGGCUCUAACGGGCAAAUCCGACGUUAUUAGAGUCGCGAUCGAAGCCGCGCUCGGCAGGACGCAAGGAAGAAAAUCUGGCG
Linepithema humile (Argentine ant) is the source of this 691-nucleotide long non-coding RNA. RefSeq lists it as uncharacterized. Lineage: Eukaryota; Metazoa; Arthropoda; Insecta; Hymenoptera; Formicidae. The record is from RefSeq and is a predicted model, not a curated record.